GACUCCGUACUUUAAACUAAAAGACCUGAUUUGCAUUUAGAAAAUGAAUUAACUUAAUUCCGGAGCCA
Molecule: transfer RNA, 68 nt
Filed under: Umbonium thomasi
Lineage: Eukaryota; Metazoa; Mollusca; Gastropoda; Trochida; Trochidae
Description: tRNA-Ala
Source: RNAcentral